ACAAAGAUCUGCUAAAUGUAACAAUAAUUGUUUAAGCUUAUGACAGAGACUCCCAAAGCCUAACAGUGAUGGCCACCCCCACCUCCCAAGGUCUCCAAGAAGAUAAUGGGCACAGCGACAAGACUCCUGGAUUGUGGUGUGAUAACCACUGAAAAACACUACCUUGUUGCCUUGCCUGCUGCCAGGGCUUGGCCUACACUGUGGACAAACAGCGGAUACCCAGGGAGUUAAAUGUCUUACAUUGCCUAAGUCAAGCUGCUGGAAACCCACUCAGAUCUACCUCUCAUGGACCAAAUAGACUCCAUCCAGCAUCUUACCAAGUCCAGGAGUUUACUCAAAAUCUACAUCCAGGACAGCUCCAGAGAAGCAACCCCCAGAUGCUCCAGUCUACUCUCACAGACACAGAUGCUUCUACUGGAUCUGCUCCUUCCCAUCCACAGAUGGUUCCACAGACCCUGGACAGCAAGGAAACAGUCAACUCUCCUAUGACUGGACCAAGAUCUCCAUACUCAUUUUCUUAAGUUUCUCAUUCUCAGAGUCACAUCGACCCACACUCAGCAGGAAGUAAUUAAAGAUCAUGACGACCCUAUUCCUUCUUCACCAUUGCCUCUUUCUAGUUUUUCCCUUUUUAAAUUAAACCAAAACAGAGGAAUGUUAGCAUUCCAUCUAGGCUCUGCCCCACUAUGCCUGACUCAGUACAAAGGGGGCUGCUUGCCCCCUCCUCACUCUCUUACUCUCUUUCCUCUCUGACCCUUCUC
Long non-coding RNA from Mus musculus (house mouse), 758 nucleotides. RefSeq annotates it as predicted gene, 41690. The record is from RefSeq and is a predicted model, not a curated record. The transcript has 3 exons. NCBI's taxonomy places the organism in Eukaryota, Metazoa, Chordata, Mammalia, Rodentia, Muridae.